GGCAAUGGCGCGGCUACCAUGCAGUCGACGAUGAGCCCUUCGGGGUGGAUUAGUGGCGAACGGGUGAGUAACACGUGGGCAAUCUGCCCUUCACUCUGGGACAAGCCCUGGAAACGGGGUCUAAUACCGGAUACGACACAGGGAGGCAUCUCCUCGUCUGGAAAGCUCCGGCGGUGAAGGAUGAGCCCGCGGCCUAUCAGCUUGUUGGUGGGGUAACGGCCCACCAAGGCGACGACGGGUAGCCGGCCUGAGAGGGCGACCGGCCACACUGGGACUGAGACACGGCCCAAACUCCUACGGGAGGCAGCAGUGGGGAAUAUUGCACAAUGGGCGAAAGCCUGAUGCACCGACGCCGCGUGAGGGAUGACGGCCUUCGGGUUGUAAACCUCUUUCAGCAGGGAAGAAGCGAAAGUGACGGUACCUGCAGAAGAAGCGCCGGCUAACUACGUGCCAGCAGCCGCGGUAAUACGUAGGGCGCAAGCGUUGUCCGGAAUUAUUGGGCGUAAAGAGCUCGUAGGCGGCUUGUCACGUCCGGUGUGAAAGCCCGGGGCUUAACCCCGGGU
This 563-nucleotide ribosomal RNA is filed under the name Streptomyces roseofulvus. RNAcentral describes it as "bacterial SSU rRNA". It matches the Rfam family "Bacterial small subunit ribosomal RNA", at positions 38 to 620 of the family's 1533-position model. Lineage: Bacteria; Bacillati; Actinomycetota; Actinomycetes; Kitasatosporales; Streptomycetaceae. The record is from RNAcentral.